Molecule: long non-coding RNA, 1170 nt
Filed under: Equus caballus (horse)
Lineage: Eukaryota; Metazoa; Chordata; Mammalia; Perissodactyla; Equidae
Description: lncRNA (ENSECAG00000056006.1)
Source: RNAcentral
GUCGCCCAGAUCAAGGCUCCCGUAGCCUCGUUGGUGGGCCUCGCUCCAGAAGAUGAGGUCGUGCUCCUGCAGGCUGGCCCCCAGAGGAUGAGGCUACCCUGGGCCAGCGGCUGACCACUCUGGAAGUAGCCGGCUGCAUGCUUGGAGUCUAGACAUAAAGAAUACCACUCCCACUGAAGUGAGAACGAAAAUUUGGAUCAUCCCGGAUCAGAACACAACCAGCCUCUCAUUCUGCAGCCCUGCUCUCAUCCCUGACGUGAGAACCUGGUUCAUUCCCGCCACGUGCCUCAGUUUCCAUUUUCUGCACUGCAGAGGAGAGCAACCAAAGAAGCGGGACAAUUGAACAGGAGGAAGAGGCAGGAAGAUGAGGGACAGGGCGGCGUAUUCCACCGGGAGCAAAGCACAAUGACUUCAGCAAUGGCAGGACCGAGAGAAGGGUCUGCCUUCUCCACGCGGCCACCUCAGGAGAUCCAGAUAAGAGGAUGCUUUUCACAUCAGCCCGGUGUGUGGGUCUGCAGUUUAUCCAGAGAACAGUUGUGUCUGAACAGUGGCAUCAAGGCCGCCUAUGAAUCAUUAUGAAUGACUCAAAGAUAAUAUCAAGUUAUUUGAAGAUUCCAGGAAAAAGUCUUAAUUUAGAAGAAUCUAGUUAAUUUGGGAAAGACUAAAGGAAGAUGUGGUGGCUGUCUUCAAAUGCUUAAGAUCUUUCCUGGGUUGCUCCACAGCCAGGACCAAUGGAUAGAAGUUACAGGCUGAUUUUAGCUCAAAUAAGAAAGAAUUUAUGAGUUGCCUCAGGAGAUGAUGAGCUCCCCAGCACUGGAAGUAUACAAGCAGAUGGACAGCCAUCUGCCAGGGCUGCCAUAGAAGGUAUUCCAGCAUCGGAUUAGGAGGGUGAAUGAGGUACUCACCAUCUCUAAAUUCUUGGAUUCUCAGUCUGUCUCCUUGGCCCAAGGCUAAAAGGAAAUUUCAGUCUUUGGAGAAAUGUAACACUUAUUGUUGAAGGUAAAAACGUGCCUUCUGUAUUUGGGCCUUUCUCUUUAGAUGCAUGAACACUGUUCUCUAAGCAGUGAAGGUACUGAAUACUAGGCAAUGCAAUAAUUACUGAAGUGCUCUACUGACAAAAGUAAUAUUAUUGACACACUCAAGUGUUACUAGGUAAAUAGCAUUAACGGC